Molecule: ribosomal RNA, 473 nt
Filed under: uncultured Streptococcus sp.
Lineage: Bacteria; Bacillati; Bacillota; Bacilli; Lactobacillales; Streptococcaceae
Description: bacterial SSU rRNA
Rfam family: Bacterial small subunit ribosomal RNA
Source: RNAcentral
UGAAGGGAGAGCUUGCUCUUCUGGAUGAGUUGCGAACGGGUGAGUAACGCGUAGGUAACCUGCCUGGUAGUGGGGGAUAACUAUUGGGAAACGAUAGCUAAUACCGCAUAAUAGUAGAUGUUGCAUGACAUUUGCUUAAAAGGUGCAAAUUGCAUCACUACCAGAUGGACCUGCGUUGUAUUAGCUAGUUGGUGGGGUAACGGCUCACCAAGGCGACGAUACAUAGCCGACCUGAGAGGGUGAUCGGCCACACUGGGACUGAGACACGGCCCAGACUCCUACGGGAGGCAGCAGUAGGGAAUCUUCGGCAAUGGACGGAAGUCUGACCGAGCAACGCCGCGUGAGUGAAGAAGGUUUUCGGAUCGUAAAGCUCUGUUGUAAGAGAAGAACGAGUGUGAGAGUGGAAAGUUCACACUGUGACGGUAUCUUACCAGAAAGGGACGGCUAACUACAUGCCAGCAGCCGCGGGUAAU